Molecule: transfer RNA, 72 nt
Filed under: Camelus bactrianus (Bactrian camel)
Lineage: Eukaryota; Metazoa; Chordata; Mammalia; Artiodactyla; Camelidae
Also listed under: 2 other names
Rfam family: tRNA
About the family: Transfer RNA (tRNA) molecules are approximately 80 nucleotides in length. Their secondary structure includes four short double-helical elements and three loops (D, anti-codon, and T loops).
Source: Rfam by way of RNAcentral
GAGGGUAGAGCUCAGUGGUAGAGCGCCUGCCUAGCAUGCAUGAGGUCCUGGGGUCAAUCCCCAGAGCCUCCA